This is a long non-coding RNA of Exaiptasia diaphana, 439 nucleotides long. RefSeq lists it as uncharacterized. Lineage: Eukaryota; Metazoa; Cnidaria; Anthozoa; Actiniaria; Aiptasiidae. The record is from RefSeq and is a predicted model, not a curated record. The transcript is spliced from 3 exons.
GAUCCAACAUGGCGGCUCUAGUGUCGACAAUACGGUGUGAAGAAUCRUAAGAUACUGGUAUAUUUUUGGGGAACAAUGAUGGAAUGUCUAGCGAAAAGGCUUCUCAUCAAUAAAACUAAAGAAAAAAUAUUGUCAAGUCCUCAAGAAUUUGCUUUACAUUGGCUGCAUGGUUACUGGUGAUUGAGUUAUAAUUGACUCAAGAAAUUGGAAAUUGUGUUUUCUUUACCUCAAGACCAGCCUCAGGAACAAGUACUAAUAUUUGGCUUAAACUCCUAUUAUAGUUUUCUUUGCAUGUAUCAUUUAUUGUUGAAUAAAUAUCUUGUCCUACUUCUCUGAGUUUUUUCUUUGUGAUUCUUUUUGUUGGAAUUUUCUUCACUUUUGAAAUGUUUGUGCUUAUGUCCUGUAAUAUACCUCUGUUGCACUUUCUAUUAAACUAGAU